Molecule: ribosomal RNA, 429 nt
Filed under: Gemmatimonadota bacterium
Lineage: Bacteria; Pseudomonadati; Gemmatimonadota
Description: Gemmatimonadetes bacterium partial 16S ribosomal RNA
Rfam family: Bacterial small subunit ribosomal RNA
Source: RNAcentral
UAGGGAAUCUUCGGCAAUGGACGAAAGUCUGACCGAGCAACGCCGCGUGAGUGUAGAAGGUUUUCGGAUCGUAAAACUCUGUUGUUAGAGAAGAACAAGGACGUUAGUAACUGAACGUCCCCUGACGGUAUCUAACCAGAAAGCCACGGCUAACUACGUGCCAGCAGCCGCGGUAAUACGUAGGUGGCAAGCGUUGUCCGGAUUUAUUGGGCGUAAAGCGAGCGCAGGCGGUUUCUUAAGUCUGAUGUGAAAGCCCCCGGCUCAACCGGGGAGGGUGAUUGGAAACUGGGAGACUUGAGUGCAGAAGAGGAGAGUGGAAUUCCAUGUGUAGCGGUGAAAUGCGUAGAUAUAUGGAGGAACACCAGUGGCGAAGGCGGCUCUCUGGUCUGUAACUGACGCUGAGGCUCGAAAGCGUGGGGAGCAAACAGG